GCGGGGUGCGAGUGGCGCAGUCGGAGCCCGCUGCGGCCCCUGAGGAAGCGAGGAGGCGUCGGCGUCGGCUGAGGCGGGCGGACCUGCGAGGCGAGGCGGCGGCCCCAGGCCCGAGGGACUCGGGAGCUCGAGCAGCGGCGGCGGCAAGACCUCUCCCCCUCGGAGGCGGCGGGCGGAGGCGGCGGGAGCGGUGGUGCCCCCCCCGGGCACGGGGCCAUGUACAACGGGAUCGGGCUGCCGACGCCCCGGGGCAGCGGCACCAACGGCUACGUCCAGCGCAACCUGUCCCUGGUGCGGGGCCGCCGGGGUGAGCGGCCUGACUACAAGGGAGAGGAGGAACUGCGGCGCCUGGAGGCUGCCCUGGUGAAGCGGCCUAAUCCUGACAUCCUGGACCACGAGCGCAAGCGGCGCGUCGAGCUGCGAUGCCUCGAGCUGGAGGAGAUGAUGGAAGAGCAGGGGUACGAGGAACAGCAAAUUCAGGAAAAAGUGGCGACCUUUCGACUCAUGUUGCUGGAGAAGGAUGUGAACCCUGGGGGCAAGGAGGAGACCCCAGGGCAGAGGCCAGCGUGAGUGUUGCGCUCUCCCUCAAUGACUCUGGACUCUACUCUGGCUGCUGGCUGCUGCUGCUGCUGCUGUCCUUUUCCUUACGUGGGACUUCCUCCCUGCUUUCGUCUGCCUUUCCCAUGCCUUAUUUGGCUCCUGCUUAUACUUGUGUUCCGAAUAUGGCUCUGUCCUUUAUAUUUCCUUUAGCCUUUUGCCUUUCUUUUGUCUAGGGUCACGGAGACUCACCAGUUGGCAGAAUUGAAUGAGAAGAAGAAUGAAAGACUCCGUGCUGCCUUUGGCAUCAGUGAUUCUUAUGUAGAUGGCAGCUCUUUUGAUCCUCAGCGUCGUGCCCGAGAAGCUAAACAACCAGCUCCUGAGCCUCCCAAACCUUACAGCCUUGUUCGGGAGUCUAGCAGUUCUCGCUCACCAACCCCAAAGCAGAAGAAGAAGAAAAAGAAGAAAGAUAGAGGACGCAGGUCAGAGAGCAGCUCUCCUCGACGAGAGAGAAAGAAAAGCUCAAAGAAGAAGAAGCACAGGUCAGAAUCUGAGUCCAAGAAACGUAAGCAUAGGUCUCCCACUCCAAAGAGCAAACGUAAAUCUAAGGACAAAAAGCGAAAGCGGUCUCGAAGUACAACACCAGCCCCCAAGAGUCGCCGGGCCCACCGUUCAACUUCUGCGGACUCUGCUUCCUCCUCCGAUACUUCCCGCAGUCGGUAAGGGGUAGUCCAGGAGGAAGGGAGGGAGAGAGGGAAUGAUGGGUUAAUUAAUUUAAUAUUUAUUGAGCGCCCACGGUGUGCUAGGCGCUGCACAGACCAUUCGGAAGACACGGUCCCUGCCCUCUAGGAGCUGACAGGCUAAAGCAACAGGAUGGACAGACAUAUACAUUUCCCCUUCUCUUUUUUUUUUGUUUUUGUUUAUUUGUUAUUUUUGUUUCGUUCUGAUGUAUAUGGACUGCCAGAAUAGGGGGGGUGGUGGUUUGUUCGUGGUGUCUGGGGGAGGAAGGAAUCCUUACCCUGGCUUCCUUAAUCGGGGAAGGCUUCCUGAAGGAGGUGGGCUCAGAGGUGAGUUGUGAAUGAAGCGGGUAGGGAGUGGGCUGGGUGGAUGGUUUGGGGAUGUUUGGGGGAGGUGAGUAAAGGGGUAGAAGGGAGAACGCUCUUUGGGAUUGUGUUGGGAAGAGAAGAACCAAAGUGGACUGUACUUGUAUUUCAGUGAAUGGUUUGAGUUUUGCGACUAAGAAGGCUUUUUGGAAGAGGGUUGUACAGUUAGGAAAGGUGGAUGGGAGUUGGGGAGGGGGUUUUCUGUUCUCCCUUUGAGCUGAUUUCCUUCCUCUCCCGCGUCCUCAAUUAACUCCUGCAGGUCUCGAAGUGCUGCAGCUAAAACUCAUACAACUGCCUUGACUGGGCGAAGUCCUUCUCCUGCUUCAGGGCGACGAGGGGAGGGAGAUGCGCCUUUCAGCGAACCAGGUACUACCAGCACACAACGGCCUAGUAGCCCGGAGCCUGCUACGAAACAGCCUAGCAGCCCUUAUGAAGACAAAGAUAAAGACAAGAAGGAGGUAUGUUCCUGAGUUGGUGAUGUUCAUUGAAUUGAAAUGUAUAGAUUUAGGAUAGACAUGUGAUGCGAAAGGGAGAAGUAAUAACUUAUUAAAAUAAAUAAAUUCAGUUUUUUUUCUGCA
Molecule: small RNA, 2218 nt
Filed under: Pongo abelii (Sumatran orangutan)
Lineage: Eukaryota; Metazoa; Chordata; Mammalia; Primates; Hominidae
Description: retained intron
Source: RNAcentral